GACGAACGCUGGCGACGUGCUUAACACAUGCAAGUCGAACGGAAAGGCCCCUUUGGGGGUACUCGAGUGGCGAACGGGUGAGUAACACGUGAGUAACCUGCCCUUGACUUCGGGAUAACUUCAGGAAACUGGGGCUAAUACCGGAUAGGAAUCCUUGCUGCAUGGUGGGGGUUGGAAAGCUUCGGCGGUUUUGGAUGGACUCGCGGCUUAUCAGCUUGUUGGUGGGGUAGUGGCUUACCAAGGCUUUGACGGGUAGCCGGCCUGAGAGGGCGACCGGCCACAUUGGGACUGAGAUACGGCCCAGACUCCUACGGGAGGCAGCAGUGGGGAAUAUUGCACAAUGGGCGGAAGUCUGAUGCAGCAACGCCGCGUGCGGGAUGACGGCCUUCGGGUUGUAAACCGCUUUCAGCAGGGGCGAAGCUUGUGGUGACGGUACCUGCAGAAGAAGCACCGGCUAACUACGUG
This 465-nucleotide ribosomal RNA is filed under the name uncultured bacterium. RNAcentral describes it as "partial 16S ribosomal RNA". It matches the Rfam family "Bacterial small subunit ribosomal RNA", at positions 28 to 507 of the family's 1533-position model. The record is from RNAcentral.